Molecule: long non-coding RNA, 598 nt
Filed under: Brassica napus (rape)
Lineage: Eukaryota; Viridiplantae; Streptophyta; Magnoliopsida; Brassicales; Brassicaceae
Description: long non-coding RNA (BNAP_LNC007637)
Source: RNAcentral
UAGACACGAGCUCAAACUAAACAUUCACCACUUGCUGAUCACUCCUGAAAUAGAGUGAGGACAAGGCAUGGUCCGACUGGUCAUUCCAAUCUCUUCGACGAACUGAACCAAGACAGGACACGGUUCUACUGGAUGAACAGGUGUGAUCUUUUAAGAUUAUCUCAACCACUGACCUGGAACAGAGCAGUUCGGUAUAGAUGAUCAUUAAUCCAAUAUUUCGGUUGUGAAGAAGCAACUUAAAUCAGGCUAGUUCGGUUCAGGAUAAGCUUUAUCAUUUCAGUUCGAGGAAAGUUCAUCUUGGUUUAGUCAAGAUCAAACCAAAAUCAAUUCAGUUUAUAAUAAAAUUAAUUUAGUUCGGAUUAAUUCCAAUCAGCUCAUGUCAGAUUAGUUAACAGUUCCAUGAGACUGAUUCAAUCCAAAACUAAACUAAACUGAACUGUACAAGAGCUUAGCCAACUGAUCCAUAGAGUAGCUUACGAUAUCAUCAAUUGGUUCUGUUCAGAACAUGACUGAAGCUACAAACUGAUGCUUACCACAACAACUGACAGUUAGAUAAUCUCGGUUGGAACUUCUCUCCAAACUUUACUCAUGGUUGUAC